Molecule: ribosomal RNA, 705 nt
Filed under: Xyloredo nooi
Lineage: Eukaryota; Metazoa; Mollusca; Bivalvia; Myida; Pholadidae
Description: partial 28S ribosomal RNA
Rfam family: Eukaryotic large subunit ribosomal RNA
Source: RNAcentral
ACCGCGUAGAGGCAAACGGGUGGAUCCGCAGUCGGCCCGGGGAAUUCAGCGCAGCAGGUCGGGGCCAUCGUGCACGCCGGGAUUCAACUCGUGGUGCGCUCCUGGCAGGCAGCGUGCACUUUCUCCGGCGUCGAGAGCCACGACCGGCUUCUGCGGCAGUCAUGAGACAAGGUAGCUGAGCUUCGGGCGUUGGGUGUUACAGGUCGCCGAGGUGGACAUGUCGCGAGGCCGAGCUUGCCACGUUUAUCAGCUUCGGGCCGUCCGGGCGCAUUCGACUUGAGCCCACUGUCUCGGCAGUGUGUUCAGACCGCGUGCCUGGACGGGCUCGUCUCGCUGCGAACGUCUCGGGUCAGUGGCGAAUCGGUCGGUCCUCCACCCGACCCGUCUUGAAACACGGACCAAGGAGUCUAGCAUGUGCGCGAGUCAUGGGGCACGAAACCCAAAGGCGCAACGAAAGUGAAGGCCGCCUCCGGCUGGCCUAGGCAGGAUCCCGUCUCGUUCGCGGGGCGGGCGCACUGCCGGCCCGUCUCGACGGCAUCGCCCGCGAGGCGGAGCAAGAGCGCACACGCUGGGACCCGAAAGAUGGUGAACUAUGCUUGAGUAGGACGAAGUCAGAGGAAACUCUGAUGGAGGUCCGCAGCGAUUCUGACGUGCAAAUCGAUCGUCAAACUUGGGUAUAGGGGCGAAAGACUAAUCGAACCAUCU